RNAcentral lists this ribosomal RNA (475 nucleotides) under uncultured organism. RNAcentral describes it as "partial 16S ribosomal RNA". It matches the Rfam family "Bacterial small subunit ribosomal RNA", at positions 330 to 797 of the family's 1533-position model. The record is from RNAcentral.
CGUACACUCCUGCGGGAGGCAGCAGUGGGGAAUAUUGCACAAUGGGCGCAAGCCUGAUGCAGCCAUGCCGCGUGUAUGAAGAAGGCCUUCGGGUUGUAAAGUACUUUCAGCGGGGAGGAAGGUGUUGAGGUUAAUAACCUCAGCAAUUGACGUUACCCGCAGAAGAAGCACCGGCUAACUCCGUGCCAGCAGCCGCGGUAAUACGGAGGGUGCAAGCGUUAAUCGGAAUUACUGGGCGUAAAGCGCACGCAGGCGGUCUGUCAAGUCGGAUGUGAAAUCCCCGGGCUCAACCUGGGAACUGCAUUCGAAACUGGCAGGCUAGAGUCUUGUAGAGGGGGGUAGAAUUCCAGGUGUAGCGGUGAAAUGCGUAGAGAUCUGGAGGAAUACCGGUGGCGAAGGCGGCCCCCUGGACAAAGACUGACGCUCAGGUGCGAAAGCGUGGGGAGCAAACAGGAUUAGAAACCCUAGUAGUCCC